AUCCAUCUAACGAGUCUUAAAUAGGACAAAAUGCACGUCCUGGAU
RNAcentral lists this non-coding RNA (45 nucleotides) under Schistosoma curassoni. The record is from RNAcentral. Lineage: Eukaryota; Metazoa; Platyhelminthes; Trematoda; Strigeidida; Schistosomatidae.